Molecule: ribosomal RNA, 408 nt
Filed under: uncultured bacterium
Lineage: Bacteria
Description: partial 16S ribosomal RNA
Rfam family: Bacterial small subunit ribosomal RNA
Source: RNAcentral
GACGAACGCUGGCGGCGUGCUUAACACAUGCAAGUCGAACGAAGUGGCGAACGGGUGAGUAACGCGUAAUCAACCUGCCCUUCAGAGGGGGACAACAGUUGGAAACGACUGCUAAUACCGCAUACUGAAGGAGGGGAUUGCGUCUGAUUAGCUAGUUGGAGGGGUAACGGCCCACCAAGGCGAUGAUCAGUAGCCGGACUGAGAGGGGGACCGGAAACAUUGGGACGGAGAGACGGCCCAGACUCCUACGGGAGGCAGCAGUGGGGGAGAUUGCACAAGGGGCGAAAGCCUGAGGCAGGGACGCCGCGUGGGGGAUGAGGGCUUUCGGGUUGUAAACCUCUUUCGCUAUCGAACGGGUAGGUGGAGAAGAAGCGCCGGCUAACUACGUGCCAGCAGCCGCGGUAAUAC